This 415-nucleotide ribosomal RNA is filed under the name uncultured bacterium. RNAcentral's name for it is "bacterial SSU rRNA". It matches the Rfam family "Bacterial small subunit ribosomal RNA", at positions 31 to 492 of the family's 1533-position model. The record is from RNAcentral.
GUACGCUGGCGGCACGCCUAACACAUGCAAGUCGAACGCAGUAGCAAUACUGAGUGGCAAACGGGUGAGUAUAAUGUGGGAAUCUGCCUUUUGGUUUGGAAUAACACGGGGAAACUUGUGCUAAUACCGGAUAAGCCCUUACGGGGAAAGUUUUAACGCCGAAAGAUGAGCCCGCACUUGAUUAGCUAGUUGGUAAGGUAAAAGCUUACCAAGGCAACGAUCAAUAGCUGUUCUUAGAGGAAGACCAGCCACAUUGGGACUGAGACACGGCCCAGACUCCUACGGGAGGCAGCAGUGGGGAAUCUUGCACAAUGGGGGAAACCCUGAUGCAGCGAUGCCGCGUGAGUGAAGAAGGCCCUUGGGUUGUAAAACUCUUUCGUCGGGGAAGAAAAUGACUGUACCCGAAUAAGAAGGU